AUAACAGCUGGAAACGGCUGCUAAUACCGCAUAAGCGCACAGAGCUGCAUGGCUCGGUGUGAAAAACUCCGGUGGUAUGGGAUGGGCCCGCGUCUGAUUAGGCAGUUGGCGGGGUAACGGCCCACCAAACCGACGAUCAGUAGCCGGCCUGAGAGGGCGACCGGCCACAUUGGGACUGAGACACGGCCCAAACUCCUACGGGAGGCAGCAGUGGGGAAUAUUGCACAAUGGGGGAAACCCUGAUGCAGCGACGCCGCGUGAGCGAAGAAGUAUUUCGGUAUGUAAAGCUCUAUCAGCAGGGAAGAUAAUGACGGUACCUGACUAAGAAGCCCCGGCUAACUACGUGCCAGCAGCCGCGGUAAUACGUAGGGGGCAAGCGUUAUCCGGAUUUACUGGGUGUAAAGGGAGCGUAGACGGCAAGGCAAGUCUGAUGUGAAAACCCAGGGCCUAACCCUGGGACUGCAUUGGAAACUGUCUGGCUCGAGUGCCGGAGAGGUAAGCGGAAUUCCUAGUGUAGCGGUGAAAUGCGUAGAUAUUAGGAAGAACACCAGUGGCGAAGGCGGCUUACUGGACGGUAACUGACGUUGAGGCUCGAAAGCGUGGGGAGCAAACAGGAUUAGAUACCCUGGUAGUCCACGCCGU
This 642-nucleotide ribosomal RNA is filed under the name uncultured bacterium. Its description in RNAcentral is "bacterial SSU rRNA". It matches the Rfam family "Bacterial small subunit ribosomal RNA", at positions 143 to 803 of the family's 1533-position model. The record is from RNAcentral.